GAGGUAAAUUUCUCCUAAGGCUAAAUAUUGGCGAGAGACCGAUAGCGAACAAGUACCGUGAGGGAAAGAUGAAAAGAACUUUGAAAAGAGAGUUAAACAGUACGUGAAAUUGUUGAAAGGGAAACGAUUGAAGUCAGUCAUACCAACGGGAAAUCAACCUUUUGAGCUCGGUCUCGUGGGUUUUGAAGAGUUUCAAAGCCUUCGGAUUCGCGAGAUUGGGAUCUCUUGGUGUACUUUUUCGUACGGUUAGUCAACAUCGGUUUUGAAUGUCAUAAAAUGACUGGAGGAAUGUAGCUUCGAUA
This 302-nucleotide ribosomal RNA is filed under the name uncultured Glomus. RNAcentral describes it as "partial 26S ribosomal RNA". It matches the Rfam family "Eukaryotic large subunit ribosomal RNA", at positions 296 to 628 of the family's 3401-position model. Lineage: Eukaryota; Fungi; Glomeromycota; Glomeromycetes; Glomerales; Glomeraceae. The record is from RNAcentral.